This is a small nucleolar RNA of Talpa occidentalis (Iberian mole), 143 nucleotides long. RefSeq annotates it as small nucleolar RNA SNORA43. Lineage: Eukaryota; Metazoa; Chordata; Mammalia; Eulipotyphla; Talpidae. The record is from RefSeq and is a predicted model, not a curated record. The transcript has a single exon.
GGCGCCCUGCAGAUGCCGGACCUGGGCACCACAGAUGCAGCUUCUCGGCGGCACCUGUGACAACGGGGCGGAGAGAAAGUGGCUAUUUCUACGCUCAGUGCUUAGAACCGUGAGCACUAAGAAUGGUUUGUAGCCAGACAUUC